UACGAAGGGGGCUAGCGUUGUUCGGAAUUACUGGGCGUAAAGCGCGCGUAGGCGGACAUUUAAGUCAGGGGUGAAAUCCCAGGGCUCAACCCUGGAAUUGCCUUUGAUACUGGAUGUCUGGAGUUCGGGAGAGGUGAGUGGAAUUCCGAGUGUAGAGGUGAAAUUCGUAGAUAUUCGCAGGAACACCAGAAGCGAAGGCGGCUCACUGGCCCGAGACUGACGCUGAGGCGCGAAAGCGUGGGGAGCAAACAGGAUUAGAAACCCCUGUAGUCC
Molecule: ribosomal RNA, 273 nt
Filed under: uncultured bacterium
Lineage: Bacteria
Description: partial 16S ribosomal RNA
Rfam family: Bacterial small subunit ribosomal RNA
Source: RNAcentral